AGGGCGCACGGUGGAUGCCUUGGCACUAGAAGCCGAUGAAGGACGUUACUAACGACGAUAUGCUUUGGGGAGCUGUAAGUAAGCUUUGAUCCAGAGAUUUCCGAAUGGGGAAACCCAGCAUGAGUUAUGUCAUGUUAUCGAUAUGUGAAUACAUAGCAUAUCAGAAGGCACACCCGGAGAACUGAAACAUCUUAGUACCCGGAGGAAGAGAAAGAAAAUUCGAUUCCCUUAGUAGCGGCGAGCGAAACGGGAAGAGCCCAAACCAACAAGCUUGCUUGUUGGGGUUGUAGGACACUCUAUACGGAGUUACAAAGGACGACAUUAGACGAAUCAUCUGGAAAGAUGAAUCAAAGAAGGUAAUAAUCCUGUAGUCGAAAAUGUUGUCUCUCUUGAGUGGAUCCUGAGUACGACGGAGCACGUGAAAUUCCGUCGGAAUCUGGGAGGACCAUCUCCUAAGGCUAAAUACUCUCUAGUGACCGAUAGUGAACCAGUACCGUGAGGGAAAGGUGAAAAGCACCCCGGAAGGGGAGUGAAAUAGAACCUGAAACCGUGUGCUUACAAGUAGUCAGAGCCCGUUAAUGGGUGAUGGCGUGCCUUUUGUAGAAUGAACCGGCGAGUUAUGAUUUGAUGCAAGGUUAAGCAGUAAAUGUGGAGCCGUAGCGAAAGCGAGUCUGAAUAGGGCGUUUAGUAUUUGGUCGUAGACCCGAAACCAGGUGAUCUACCCUUGGUCAGGUUGAAGUUCAGGUAACACUGAAUGGAGGACCGAACCGACUUACGUUGAAAAGUGAGCGGAUGAACUGAGGGUAGCGGAGAAAUUCCAAUCGAACCUGGAGAUAGCUGGUUCUCUCCGAAAUAGCUUUAGGGCUAGCCUCAAGUGAUGAUUAUUGGAGGUAGAGCACUGUUUGGACGAGGGGCCCCUCUCGGGUUACCGAAUUCAGACAAACUCUGAAUGCCAAUUAAUUUAACUUGGGAGUCAGAACAUGGGUGAUAAGGUCCGUGUUCGAAAGGGAAACAGCCCAGACCACCAGCUAAGGUCCCAAAAUAUAUGUUAAGUGGAAAAGGAUGUGGCGUUGCCCAGACAACUAGGAUGUUGGCUUAGAAGCAGCCAUCAUUUAAAGAGUGCGUAAUAGCUCACUAGUCGAGUGACACUGCGCCGAAAAUGUACCGGGGCUAAACAUAUUACCGAAGCUGUGGAUUGUCCUUUGGACAAUGGUAGGAGAGCGUUCUAAGGGCGUUGAAGCAUGAUCGUAAGGACAUGUGGAGCGCUUAGAAGUGAGAAUGCCGGUGUGAGUAGCGAAAGACGGGUGAGAAUCCCGUCCACCGAUUGACUAAGGUUUCCAGAGGAAGGCUCGUCCGCUCUGGGUUAGUCGGGUCCUAAGCUGAGGCCGACAGGCGUAGGCGAUGGAUAACAGGUUGAUAUUCCUGUACCACCUAUAAUCGUUUUAAUCGAUGGGGGGACGCAGUAGGAUAGGCGAAGCGUGCGAUUGGAUUGCACGUCUAAGCAGUAAGGCUGAGUAUUAGGCAAAUCCGGUACUCGUUAAGGCUGAGCUGUGAUGGGGAGAAGACAUUGUGUCUUCGAGUCGUUGAUUUCACACUGCCGAGAAAAGCCUCUAGAUAGAAAAUAGGUGCCCGUACCGCAAACCGACACAGGUAGUCAAGAUGAGAAUUCUAAGGUGAGCGAGCGAACUCUCGUUAAGGAACUCGGCAAAAUGACCCCGUAACUUCGGGAGAAGGGGUGCUCUUUAGGGUUAACGCCCAGAAGAGCCGCAGUGAAUAGGCCCAAGCGACUGUUUAUCAAAAACACAGGUCUCUGCUAAACCGUAAGGUGAUGUAUAGGGGCUGACGCCUGCCCGGUGCUGGAAGGUUAAGAGGAGUGGUUAGCUUCUGCGAAGCUACGAAUCGAAGCCCCAGUAAACGGCGGCCGUAACUAUAACGGUCCUAAGGUAGCGAAAUUCCUUGUCGGGUAAGUUCCGACCCGCACGAAAGGCGUAACGAUUUGGGCACUGUCUCAACGAGAGACUCGGUGAAAUCAUAGUACCUGUGAAGAUGCAGGUUACCCGCGACAGGACGGAAAGACCCCGUGGAGCUUUACUGUAGCCUGAUAUUGAAAUUCGGCACAGCUUGUACAGGAUAGGUAGGAGCCUUUGAAACGUGAGCGCUAGCUUACGUGGAGGCGCUGGUGGGAUACUACCCUAGCUGUGUUGGCUUUCUAACCCGCACCACUUAUCGUGGUGGGAGACAGUGUCAGGCGGGCAGUUUGACUGGGGCGGUCGCCUCCUAAAAGGUAACGGAGGCGCUCAAAGGUUCCCUCAGAAUGGUUGGAAAUCAUUCAUAGAGUGUAAAGGCAUAAGGGAGCUUGACUGCGAGACCUACAAGUCGAGCAGGGUCGAAAGACGGACUUAGUGAUCCGGUGGUUCCUCAUGGAAGGGCCAUCGCUCAACGGAUAAAAGCUACCCCGGGGAUAACAGGCUUAUCUCCCCCAAGAGUUCACAUCGACGGGGAGGUUUGGCACCUCGAUGUCGGCUCAUCGCAUCCUGGGGCUGUAGUCGGUCCCAAGGGUUGGGCUGUUCGCCCAUUAAAGCGGUACGCGAGCUGGGUUCAGAACGUCGUGAGACAGUUCGGUCCCUAUCCGUCGUGGGCGUAGGAAAUUUGAGAGGAGCUGUCCUUAGUACGAGAGGACCGGGAUGGACAUACCUCUGGUGUACCAGUUGUCGUGCCAACGGCAUAGCUGGGUAGCUAUGUGUGGACGGGAUAAGUGCUGAAAGCAUCUAAGCAUGAAGCCCCCCUCAAGAUGAGAUUUCCCAACUUCGGUUAU
Molecule: ribosomal RNA, 2815 nt
Filed under: Staphylococcus aureus
Lineage: Bacteria; Bacillati; Bacillota; Bacilli; Caryophanales; Staphylococcaceae
Description: bacterial LSU rRNA
Rfam family: Bacterial large subunit ribosomal RNA
Source: RNAcentral